AAUUUCGAGCACUACAGAAGAAGACGUCAUUUUCACGAUGGCGACAGCCUGUAGGACUGCAUUUGCGGGGGUAAAUGUUUUUCACUCCUCGUUUUGUGCACCUUAACAGGCAGCACACGGUCGGACCCGUAAGAUAAAGGAAAACCUCAGACAAGAGGACGUUGUUCCUUACCUGGCAGGAGAGAGACGUGGAAACUCUUGCAGAGCAACAUCGAGUCGCAUGCACAGACUAUUGCUGUGCAGCUCUCCAGAAAAGCCAGGUGGACAUCGGAGAGAAUAAAAAAGCAGAUCAUCUCCUACAAUGGAGGGAACAAGUCACCUCAAUUCCCCCUAAGACUGGAGUACAUUGAUGUUCUCCAGCAAGACCAUCCAGUCUGGUCCCAGGUGUCCAAACAUUUGGGGGAUAGUCUGCUCUGGGCCAAGCAGGGUGCAGUGUGAAGUGAUGCUGCACAAGGUCCUAAACGAUAUCAUAACCGCCAUCGAUAAAAGACUGUACUGUGCAGCCAACUUCAUCGACCUGGCCAAGGCUUUUGACUCUGUCAAUCACCGUAUUUUUAUCGGCAGACUCAACAGCCUUGGUUUCACUAAUGACCUCCUCGUCUGGUUCACUAACUUCUUCUCAGAUAGAGUUCAGUGUGUCAAAUCGGAGGGCCUGUUGUCCGGACCUCUGGCAGUCAAUGGGGGUGCCACAGGGUUAAAUUCUCGGGCCGACACUCUUCUCUGUAUAUAUCAACGAUGUCACUCUUUCUGCGGUU
Long non-coding RNA from Oncorhynchus mykiss (rainbow trout), 755 nucleotides. RefSeq lists it as uncharacterized. The record is from RefSeq and is a predicted model, not a curated record. Lineage: Eukaryota; Metazoa; Chordata; Actinopteri; Salmoniformes; Salmonidae.